Molecule: ribosomal RNA, 500 nt
Filed under: uncultured Atopostipes sp.
Lineage: Bacteria; Bacillati; Bacillota; Bacilli; Lactobacillales; Carnobacteriaceae
Description: bacterial SSU rRNA
Rfam family: Bacterial small subunit ribosomal RNA
Source: RNAcentral
AUGCCGCGUGAGCGAGAGGUCUUCGGAUCGUAAAGUUCUGUUAUUAAGAAGAACAAGUCUAGGAGUAACUGUCUUGAGUUUGACGGUACCUAACCAGAAAGUCACGGCUAACUACGUGCCAGCAGCCGCGGUAAUACGUAGGUGACAAGCGUUGUCCGGAAUUAUUGGGCGUAAAGGGAGCGCAGGCGGUUGGAAUAGUCUGAUGUGAAAGCCCCCGGCUUAACCGUGGAAGGUCAUUGGAAACUGUCCCACUUGAAUGCAGAAGAGGUAAGUGGAAUUCCAUGUGUAGCGGUGAAAUGCGUAGAUAUAUGGAGGAACACCAGUGGCGAAGGCGACUUACUGGUCUGUGAUUGACGCUGAUGCUCGAAAGCGUGGGUAGCGAACAGGAUUAGAUACCCUGGUAGUCCACGCCGUAAACGAUGAGUGCUAAGUGUUGGAGGGUUUCCGCCCUUCAGUGCUGGAGUUAACGCAUUAAGCACUCCGCCUGGGGAGUACGACCG